GCAGACACAUCCCAGCCAAUCAGCAGCAGACCCUCCCUCCCAGACCCUCCCACCUCCUGGACAGCAUCCAUUUUACAUUCAUUGUGAAGCUGCAUUCUUAGUGAGCUGUCCAGGAGGUGGGAGGGUCUGGGAGGGAGGGUCUGCUGCUGAUUGGCUGGAAUGUGUCUG
Non-coding RNA from Pelobates cultripes (western spadefoot toad), 168 nucleotides. The record is from the annotation of a GenBank genome assembly. Lineage: Eukaryota; Metazoa; Chordata; Amphibia; Anura; Pelobatidae.